RNAcentral lists this long non-coding RNA (1643 nucleotides) under Numida meleagris (helmeted guineafowl). Its description in RNAcentral is "lncRNA (ENSNMEG00000004290.1)". The record is from RNAcentral. Lineage: Eukaryota; Metazoa; Chordata; Aves; Galliformes; Numididae.
AUGGCCGCCCCAAUUGGCAGCGCGCUCCAGCCAAUGGCGGAGGCGAGCGCUUCCUGCUGGCCAAUGGCGGCGGAGCCCGGCGGGGGGCAGCGGGCCGGCCGAGCUUGCCUCCAGCGGGGCGCGCCUGCCCGCAGGCCAAUGGCGGCGCCGGAGGAGCGGCGGGGCAGCGCGCCCGCGGCGCCCGGCGGGUUGGGGGGGGGGGGGGAGUGGUUGCCGUGGCAACCGCAGGCCUGGUGGCGACGACCCACCCUGACACCCGCCGCCCCUCGCCCAGCCCGGGACGCGACGCGGUACCUGGGGCCGAGCGGCAGAGCUCCGCCUCCUCCGUCCUCCAGCGGCGGGGCGGUGUCCUGUGCCGGCGGGGCUGCCGCCUCUGCCCCGCCUCCCGCUGCCGCCCGCCCCGCCGGGCAGCGGCCUGCGACCUGUGACGGACUGGGGGUAGGGUGUGCCGCGCGGCUGCUGCGGCUGGAGGUGGAUGUUGAAGGUGCCCCGGUGGCUUGCACUCUGCCCAUGGGAACCCCUCGGAGUUCGCAGAGCGGUGCUGUGGGACGGGGGUGCUGCAGUGAUCCACAUACUUAUGGACGAUCUGCAUGCCUCCAUGGAGAUAUCCAGAGGGAAGAUGUCAGCUGAGGAUGUGGUGCAGAAUUACUCAAGCAUGCAAGAUGUAGUAGAAGUGAAAGGCAAUGAUUGCUCCUUUGUUCAGACAGACCCAGGUACAACGAAAUUCUCUGUUCUUCCAUGGCACUGAAGUAACCUCUUUGGGAGAAGAUACAGGUGGAAUGACAGAAAUGUCUGCCAUGGCCAACACUGAUCUCACCUGCAAUGGACAGCCCCAGAUCUCACUGAAGACUGAAGCCUACUGGCAACAUGCUCUGCCUCGCCUUGCCUCCUGAGAGGUGGAGGUAUCCAUUCCUCUUUCCUCGGCUGCUGUCUAGGAACAGACUGAAGUAGCCAACUGGGCAUUGCAAAAAAUCUCAUGAGCAGCCAGUCGGCUAUGACUUGAUAUUCCGUUAAAACAAAUCAGAGCACAGUGGUGAACCACAUCUCCUCUGACUCUCUUUCCCCAGAGGGUUGCAAACUUCCAACUUCAGGAUGCAAGAGCCUGGCCUUAGGCCAAUUACAUCUGUGGCUGGUAAAUUAGGAGGCAUAGUUAGACUCAAACUGGGGCCAAAUCGUAGCACAAGCUAUUCCAACAAGCCUUGAUGGCUGUAGACCUCCUCAGAGACAUUCCCACAGGAUUGCUAGCCUUCUGCAUGGUUCCCUAUCCAAAAGAAUGACUAUUAUCUUAAUAAUGGCAACAGCCACUCAUAAGGUUCACCUGCAUUACACAGACUGCAUUUCUUAGAAGGAAGAAGUAAACUUUUUAUAUUUCUGUGGAGCAAGUAUGAAAAUCAUUAUUUCUUGACUGUUUUCAUUGGGUAGCUCGGACCGCAAGCAGAACUUAACUGUGCAAAAUAUGCUAUAUGAACAAAUAGGACAAAAUGUUCAUAACUUUACUAAGCCAGACAGACAGAGAUUAGGAGGGGAAACAAGGGUGGAGAGAGGUCAAGAUAUCUGGUUCAAGGUCAGUGGUUAGAUCUGGGCAGACAGUUGUCUUCCAUUGUCUCUCCAAACAGAUUAAGUAGUUCUGUGAGAGUGUCCAU